UUUGUUCUAGGUUUUUGACUUAUAUUUUAGUUUACAUUAUGAGUUUGCCGUCUCUGUGAAUAACCUAUUCCAUAGCUUUAAAAAAACAACAAUUGCUUUGAUUUUUAGUUCUAGUGAUUUUUUAAAUAAUUUUUAUAACUAGUAAAUUCUAAAGAAAUAUGCUUGUUUUUAGUGCAUACUCUCUUUAAAUAUCACUCUGACAUCUGUGGAAACCCCUGUCAGCUUAAAUAGCAAUGCAUGCUGGUCACUGCCUUUAAAAGCUGCCAGAAUAUCUUAUCAUGUCUUUGAUGGAUUCGGGUGUUGGUUUGCAAAGUUGUUUUGUUUUCCUAAAUAAAAAUGGUUUUGUUGUUGUGUUGUAAUAUUUUAUUUUAAUCUAGUUGUAUUGUGGUGGAGAUAAUAUGUAUCAGAAACCCAAAAUAGUUCAAUGACUCCUUCACUUAGAAAUGGGAGACUGAUCGCUUUAGCUGUUCUUAUCAGCCUCAUUACACUGCUGUUUUCCAUAGUUGUGGAAAGUUUGUCUCUUGACUAUUUGGGUCUAUUUUGAUGCAAUGAGUAUAAGUCUUUUCUGUUCUCAUUCUUAACUUUAAAUCAUCUGUUAGGAAAAAAUGCCAUUUUUAAACCUUUAAAUGUUCUAGAGAGCAAAGAAAACAAAACUUUAGAUAUUAAGAUAGUUUCAACAAGUAAAAUUGCUUUUGAUACAUAAGAUACAAAAAUGACAGAAAGUUAUGUGUUCGCAAUGAAAACAAAAUAAAAGUUACAUGUAUUUUAGUAGUAAAGUACUUAAUUUCAGAGUUGUAGGCCAGAAAGAAAGCAUUCUAUUAUUUUAGAAAAAUACACAUCUCUUAAUUUGGUUUUCAUUUUAAAAUAGGAUAUUGGGAGAUAAAAGCAAUUAAUUUGUUUCAUUCAAAUGAAUGACACUAGUGAACUCCUGGUGUUAAUUCACACUCAUAUCUGUAAGGUUUCUAUGUCUGUAGCUUGUAUGGGAUGAAUUUGGUGUAAAAAGACCAUGACCACCAUCAUUUCUUAGCAUCAGCCCCUGUGUGUGGCUGUCCUCUAACUACGUCACCUUCCAGUCUUGGCUUCAGGCAUUCCACUGCCUACCCAUCCUGCUUUUAUCUUUAAAACUGGUACCUCCUCGCCUCAGCAGGUUUCUGCCCUGUGGGGCACACAGUCCAUUAAGUCUCCAUUUCUCACUUUCUGUCACUUGCCCCCUCUCUGCUUCACAGCUUGGAAGCCAUGACCUAUCACUACAAUCACUCUACUUGCUUGCCUCUCACCUCUUCUCUGCUAGCAAAAUCCUAACCUUGAUAAAUCAAAUACUCCUGUUUUGUCCACUGUAUCUGAGCAGUUAAGCACAAUUCAAGAGGAGAGACAUAUUAAGUGUGCUCAGACAAGCUCAGGGCCAAAAGACUGAAAUAGGCUGAGGAGUUGGUUCAUUCUGCUGCUCUCUGGAACAAUUCCGUGUUCUGCUUUCCUUCUCAAACCUAUUGCAUUUGUAUUCCUCUUUUGAGAUAACUGCCUCAGCGUCAUUGAAAAAGUGGAAGCAAACACCAGAGACCCUGUUAUCAGCCCAACCCAAAUCUACUACCUCAUUGUAUCCACCUCCACACAAUUAGUCUGCUGUCCUGCCUUUAGAGCAGAGGGUGCUUUGCUUAGGAAGUGUGCCUCUGCCCGACCCCUGCUCUAGAAUGCUGUGCUUCUCAGCCCUGCCAUGAUGCUUUCCCUCAGUCUUCUGAAAGACUGCCUUCUCACUUCUUCUCCCACUUGAGCUCCUUCCUUCAUCAAUGGCAAUGAGGUCCUUAGUCAUCUCAGUGCACAGAGACAUUGGUCUGACCAACAGAUGUUCUCUAAAUGGGAUGAUUAGUCUUCAUCGAAACUGACCCCUCAGUCUUCUGGACUCACCCGGUCACCAUCCUCUCUAAAGAACUCCACUCACAUGACCCUCUUCAGGAGCCUCUCUUUAAUCAGCUUCACCUACUCUACCACAGUAAGUGACCCUGCCUUAUCUUCACACACCCUUAAGGUUUCUUUCCUCACUUGUUAAGAUAGCAUGCCCAGUCUCAGAGCCUUAAGUGCCUUCUACAGGCUGAUGCUGUCCUGCUGAUGUUCAGUUUGUGUCUCUAUUCCUCUUUUUCCUGAGCUCCAAACCUGUGUAUCCAACAUUCUUCCCAAAGUUCUGCUGUGAAAUUUUACUAGGUCUCACCCAUGUAAUUUCUCAAAAAGAAAACCUUUGCUUCUACAGAACUCAUAGACACCUGCUUACCUCUACCUCCCACGUGCUGGGAGUGAAGCAUGCUUCUUGCAGUCCCACAUUCCACCUAUCAGAAAGCCCUGCUAAUUCUGUGUGAUUCUACACACAUAUCACACCACACCACUUCCCAUCCUUUGUAACAUUAUCCCUCUAUAUGACACAUUAUUAGCUCUUGACUGGACUGUUGAAGUGGCUCCUACCUAGUUUUUCUGCUUUUCACCCUUGCUACCUUUGACAGUUUAUUUGCACAUCAAUCAUCUUUUGGAAAUAGAUGUGAUCAUGUUAUUCCCCUACUGCAAACCUUCCUGUGGCUUCUCUUUAUUUUAAGAAGAAAAUGGAAACUCCUCUUUAACCUUUAUCCUCCAUGUACUCAGCUCUCCAACUUACCUCCUCCCUCUUUGCCUUCACUUACAAAGUCCAAACAAGUGACUCUGUUGCCGUCGAUGACUGGGCCAAGCUGUUUCCUACCUAAAGCCUUGCUGCUUUGUCCCUGUCUAGAGUUCUACUCAUCACUCAAAGCCACAUCUUCUGUAUCAUAUUGUUGCUCUGGGCCCUGUCACUUUGUGCUAUCAUAGCCUGCCUUUUUAUUCCAAAUAUUUCCCAGUUAUUUGACUGUUUUUAUUUGGGGACAGGAUCUUCCUGUAUAGACCAGAUUGUCCUAUUGCUGCCUCAUGGGUGCUGGGAGCAAAGGCCUGUUCUCCCCCCUUCUCCCUCCCCUCACCAUGUCUGUCUACAUUUCUCAAGUCUUAGGUUUUACCAUUGUAAUUGUUUUUAUUCUCAUUGGUUGUAGAUUGCUGUCUUUAGAAUGCUGUCUGGUGUGUGAUAAAAGUUGUUGACUAGACAGCUGCCUAGAUCUUGAGUGUUCUCCCUACAGUGAGACUGAAAACACUUCACAGAGAGUGAUCCCUCAGUUUAAGUUCACAGAAAAGUAACAUUAUGUAGAAUAAAAAAGUAAAACAUUUAUCCACUUUUACAUAAAAUAUGUUGCCUAAAUUUUUGAAAAUAAUGCAUAACUGCUAAAACCAUUUGGGAAAGGGAUUUGGUGUGAGACAGGGAGAGAAGCUGAGUCUCUGAGAGUUCAGUUAUGGUUUGGGCAAAUCAGAGUUAGAUUUUCUAACAUCAUGUCUUCAUUAAUUCCGAUUAUUUUUUCAACAAGAUAUUAUUUGGAUGGAUUUCAAAGAGCUCAUUGUAAGCCAGGGGAAAGGAAGCACAGAAAGACUUCAUUUAUCAGCUGUCUUCCAGGAGCAAAGUCCCCACACGCCAUUGGCCAUGUUAGCUCGAUGCAUGUAAGAGUUCUCCAUUCUAAAUGAUGUUUUUCCGACAUGCUCUGCAUGCUAGCCUUGUUCUUUCAAACAAAAAAUGCAAAAGUCAUCAACCCACAGUCAAUAUUGUAGUACAACCUAAGAGGCCCCCUGUAACGAUGUGACGUCUGUGGUCCCUCCUUGCUCCUUUCAUAAUUCACCAGCCCUUCACGUGCCCUACUUCACGCUGCUGACAACUGCUUUCCACUUGAUUGACUUUUAUAAUCCAUCCAUGGGAAGGGGCAACCCUUAAUAUCACCAGGGUCCCCACACCUCUAGACCACUGCUGGGAGACUUUGGUACUAGGGGUAGAAAUAGUGAAAUAAUUAAAAACACACUGAAGUGAUGAUGUAGAUGAGAAUUUUAUGACUUCUCAUCAUUAAGGAUGACUCAUAAAAGACUUGACUUGUCUUUUGAUAAGUGGACUGGGGCCUCACAUUGCAUGAUAGUGCUUACUAUAAUCCUGUUAACAGAAUUUGAAGAUAUGGCUCCUAUUUAGGAUAACUGUAGGUUCUAGUUUCAAUAACUGUUUUCUUUUUCAAACAAAUGUAUUUAUUUUACAUCCAAUAUCAGCCCCCUUCCUCCCAGUACCUCUCACACAGAUCCUACCUCCAUUGUAGGACUAGACUCAUCCUUUCCCACUGAGGCCAGACAAGGCAGCCCAGCUAGGGGAAUGGGAUCCACAGGCAAGCAACAGAUUCAUGGACAGCUCCCACUUAACUUGUUGGGAGACCCACAUGAAGACCAAGCUGCUCUUCUGCUACAUAUGUGCAGGGGGCUUAGGUCUAGCCCAUGCUCGCUCUUUGGUUGGUGGUUCAGAGUCUGAGAACCCCUAAAGGUCCAGAUUAGUUGACUCUGUUGGUCUUUCUGAGGAGUCCCUGUCCUCUUCGUGUCCCUCAAUCCUUCCCCCAGCUCUUCCACAAAGCUUCCUGAGCUCCAUCUAAUGUUUGGCUGUGGGUCUCUAUUUGUUUCCAUUGACUGCUAGGUGGAGCCUCUCAAAGGAUAGUUAUGCUAGGCAUCAAUAACUAUUUUUCAGUGUGUGUGUGUGUGUGUGUGUGUGUGUGUGUGUGUUUGCGUGUGUGUUUGCGUGUGUGUACACUUUUUUAUAUACAUACAGGGGCUAGAAAAUAACCACAUGCUUUUCUUCAGGAAUCAUUUGCCUUGUUUUCAGACAGAGUCACUCACAAUCCUGGAGCUCAGUAAAUAGUCUGGCCUCAGAGCCCCUGAGUCUGCCUGUCUCUGACUUCAUGUGUUGGGAUAAUAAGUGCAUAACACCUAGAUAUUUUUCAACAUGGGUUCUGAGGAUCAAACUCAGAUCCUCACACUUGUGAGACUAACACUCCUGAUGGGGCCAUCUCCCCAGGUGCUCCUCUCCCCUUCAGACCAGUUCAGAUCAGACCAGACUGAUCUAAACUCAAGAUGAGCUUGAACUUCUGACCUUCUUCUUCUUCUUCUUCCUUUUGAGUGCUAGUGUUCCAAGUGUGCACCACUGUGACUAGUUUUCUGCUGUUCUGAGGAUGAACCCAGGAUUUGUACAUGUUAGGUGCAUUCUACUAACUGAACUGCAUCUCUAGCCCUUUUCACUCUGAUGUUUAAUAUUACCUUCAUUCUCAAUUGCUACUCAACUGUGAGUAUAAAUUUAUAUAUAUAUACAUAUAUAUAUUCUAAAUAUAAGUAUAUUUUAAAUAAUUUGUAAAGCAUCAGAAAUUUUUCAAUUAUUCCCAAAUAUAGCUUCUUGUAAUUUAAACUCAGAUAAGGGAUUUGUAAAUGAUGUCAGUGGGUGUAUACUUAGUACAAAAAGUUAAAUUCCAUAUGUUAAGUAAAAACAAAUAUGAAUGAAGUAUUUCCUCAUGUCUCUUCUAGAGAUUUGGUAUGAUACAGUGAUGCAAACAUAUGUGCUGAGUGACUAGAUUUAUUUACUUAUAUUAACAAGGAAAACUGUCUGAAUACUGUUUGCUUUAAGCUUUGGGCUGAGGGGACUCAGUGCAUAGCUCAUGUGGUUAGCAUGUGUGAGGCCCUGGGUUGGAUUCCCAGCCUCAAACAAAACAAGUUUCAGAGACUUAGAAUACAGAAGUGUCAUGGAUGUGAAGACAUUUCUAUUUUGUGAAACAUAAUUCAAAGUCCUCUUAUAUUACUUAAGCUAGCAUAUAUUUUGGCUUUGAUAGACCAGGUAGAGCAUAUUUUUUAGAAAAUUUAGGUAAUUAAUUCAGCUCUCCUAAGCUACACUGAGAGGUUUGUAAAGGUGCAGGUUGUUCUGCGGGGUCCCUGGUGUACCGCCCCUUUCGUCUGUGCUGAGUGUGCAGCAGGUUCUUGCAGCUCAGGACUGAACCUGAAACCAAAGCGUUUCCAUUCUUGUGGAUUAGCUUGCAUCUAGGAUCUAUAAUCCAUAAUAGUAUUUCACUUUAUUAAAUUUCAUUCUGUGAAAAUUCAAACUUAACAGCACUUCUCAGUGUUUUACAAAACUGCUCUUCCAUUAGGAAACUAAACAAAACACUAAGACAUUGAACUCAGUGAACAUUGCCUAAGAAUAGUCAGUGAGUGUAGCUAGGAACUGGUUAAACGAAUGACCUAGAAAUUAUCCUUAAGAGAUGAUCCUUUUAGAGAUGAACAGGGUCUUUACUUUUUGUGCUAUCAUAUGAGACUUGGUUAAUGCAGUAAGGUAUAUUUCAAGCAAAGAAUAUAACCCCUCAAAACAUUGGAAGGAAGGACUGCCUGGGUAGAUGUGAGUUCAUUUCAUAGCUAGUUUAGCUUCAUCUUGAAGCAUAAAUAUGAAAGAACUUUGUUUCAAUUACCUAACACUCUUUUCUACAUUAAAGUGAUGCAUAAGCAGAUAUGAUGGUAUAUGACUGUAAUCCCAGCAAUUGGAAGGCAGAGGCAGGAGGAUUGUCAUAAGUUUGAGGACAUCCAAGGCCACAUAGAUCAAAUGAUAAAUGGUAGGGAGAGAAAUGGGAAUAUUUAGUAACCUACCAAGAUAUGCCUCUGCUAUAAUCUUCAGUCUUUCAUUGGUUGUUUCACUGGUCAAAUGCAUAGCAAAAUUAUCACAAAAAUAAUACAUCCUGACUUCAAACCAUAAUAUCCGUGCUUAACCAUUGCUGUGGGCUUAGAGUUUAGGAGUGGGUUUGAAACUGGUUCAGGAUAAAUCUUGCUUAAGAUAAGUUGUGGUUGCACUCAGAAAUCAGUUAUUGCCAAGGUUAUCUCAACAUCCCCACGUGCAUUCCUGGUCCUUGGGUAAGGAAGCUACAAAUAGCUGGACUCCUGACACCUCCAUUUUGAUGUGGUUCCUCCUGAUCCUGAGUAUCUCCCAUAUUGGCCCACAAGCUUCAUGUCCUGUGAUAUAAACCAAAUGGAAUCUCCAUCAUCUUUUGAACUGGCCUUUGAAUUAAAGCUGUAUUAUUUCUGCCCCUCUUUUAAUUAUGGUUUUGUUCUACCUAGAUUCAAGCAAUAAGAACUCCUCAUGGAGUAUAGAUACCAUAUAGAAGGAAGAGUAUAUAUAUACUGAGGUAUGGCUAUACAAAGUCAAGCAUUGGGACAACUGCCUAACACCUAAGCAUUUCUACCCAUCAUAACCUAACCACACAUUAGCCAACCGUAGAUUACAUGUUGCUACAUGUGACAAAUAAAACAGAAUUUACAAAUUAGUUCAGAAAUGUCUCUAAAUAAACAGUAACAUGAUGGGAAUUAGGCUGGGCCAUCCUUUUCACCAUCUUGGUGAAGAAGGAAGCUCCUGCCCCUCCAAAAUGCGAAGCCAGUGCUGAAAGGCGUCCACAGCCACAAAAAGAAGAAGAUCCGAAAGUCACCAACCUUCCAGCAGCCCAAGACCCUGCAGCUCCGGAGGCAGCCAAAAUAUCCUCGGAAGAGUGCGCCCAGGAGAAACAAGCUUGACCACUAUGCUAUCAUCAAAUUCCCACUGACCACUGAGCCAGCCAUGAAGAAAAUAGAGGACAACAACACUUUUGUGUUCAUUGUGGAUGUCAAGGCCAACAAGCAUCAGAUCAAACAGGCUGUCAAGAAACUCUUUGACAUUGAUGUGGCCAAAGUCAAUACCCUGAUAAGGCCUGACGGAGAGAAGAAGGCAUAUGUUCGCUUGGCUCCUGGUUAUGAUGCCCUAGAUGUUGCCAAUAAGAUUGGGAUCAUCUAAACUGAGUCCAGAUGGCUAAUUCUAAAUAUACACUUUUUUUUCACCAUAAAAAUAAAAUAAUAAAAAAAACAGUAACACAACAUAACUACCAACAACAACAAAUAACUUUAGUGGAGGAGAGAAGAAAAUCACAUUUUCUGAAUUAUUAUGUUAUAAUAUUCCAGAUAACUAGUUUGUGGUCAAAUAGUUAAGAGGCAUGUGAAGCGUCAAGUGUAAACUCAGGGUGAGAAAUACUGCAGUCAGUAGUGCUGGUCCCUGAGCAGCCUAUUCUAUGUUUAAGAAAUAAAAGGAAUUUUCUGAAGAAAUAGGGACAGUUGGUCUGCUGGUACAGGACUUUACCCUAGGUAUUCAAGAGACCGAGGCAUAAGGAUCACAGGACUGUGGCCCCAGCCACCCAGGAGGCAGAGGCAGGAGAAUCACAGGCUGUAAUUCUAGCUACUUAGGAUAAGGCUGAGGCAGAAGGUUCGAAUUUUGAGUCCUGGUACCAACCUGAGCACAACUUAGUGAGAUUCUCUCACAGUAAACAGGGUGGUGGCACAGCACUGUUAUAGAGAGCGCUGCCCAGCAUGCAUAGGCAGGGACACAGCACAGUGACAGAGCCUCUGCCCAGCAUGCACAGGCAGGGACACAGCAUGGAUAUAAGAGCUCUUGUCUAGCAUGCACAGGGUUCUAGAUCUGAUUCUAACACCUCCAAAAACUAAAACAGAAAAAAAUUUGAUUUCUCAUCUGAAAUUAAUCAAAAUCCCACAUUCAGCAAAAUCCACCCUUUAAAAUGAGAUACUUAAAAACAUUGCCGGCUUAAAACGUGAAUUUGUCAGUCUCUUAACAAACUUGUCUACAAACUAAAAUUAUAAAAAUUUUCAAAUAAAUAUACUAUAAAAUCCUCAUUAACUUGAACAAAACAAGUUAUUUAGAUAGUUCAAUGAUUAUGAAAGCAAUGGAAGAGAGAAUAAAUUAGGUUCCUGCAAAGUUUAAAACCUCUGUGAUUCAGAGACCCCAGUGCCAUAAAGAAACUGAAACAUGUCACAAAAUAGAGGCAAUACUUAAAAGCUUUCUGUCUCAUACAAGUCUGAUAUAUACUGAAUACAACUUAGACACACACCAACACGGAUAACUUAGACGUGAGCGGAGAGUCUGAGUAGACUUCUCUCCAGGAGAAACCACUGCAGCAAGAAGACAUAUCUACACACAAAUAGAUAUUCAUGUCCUCAGUGUCCUGAAACACAAUCCAAAUAGGCAGUAAGUGCUCUCACGCUCUAGGACGCAGACGCUCUAUGGGAAGGUCAAACUGUGGGGAAAGAGAUGUGGAGAGGCUACCCAGAUACUUCUGACAGCCAGAGUAUCAAGUGAUGUAGCUUCUUUGGAAAUAGUUCAGCAAUGCCUCAGAUGUUUUAAACACUUACCUUAGGACUCAAUGCUUUGCCUCAUGUGUGUAUUCUAAGAGAAUUGAAGACAUAUCUACACACAAAUAGAUAUUCAUGUUCUCAGCAGCAUGAGUCACAACAGUAAAGAGCAGAGACAACCCGGACAUCCAUGUUCUGAUAAGAUCACAAAAUGUCAUAAAUCCAUACAAUGAAAUAAAUGGUAUUGAUAUAAGGAGGACAAUGCUGAUGUGUGCUACAAUGUGGCUAAAUCUUGAAAUUGUUAUGGAGAUGAAAUAAGAUAGACAUGAAAAGUCACAUAUCAAAUGCACCUUUUUAUGAAAUUCUGUGAACAAACUCACAGCAACAGAAAGUCCCGCAGGAACUUCUAGCAGCUGAAUGUCAUGUGAUGCUUUGCUGUAGGUGGUUUCUUUUAGAUUGAGGAAGAAGAGAGCCGGAUAAUGGUGAUGCCUGCACAGCUCUGUGAGUAGUCAGAACUACCAAGCUUUGUUGUCUUAGGGAAAAUUUCAAGUGAUAUUUAGAAAAUUGGAAAUGGAAGAAAACGCAAGGGAACUUGUGAGACUGGUCUAUGUCCAGACAAAGGCAAUGUUCUAUCCUCCAUUUCUGAGGAGCACAGGUGACUGCUGUCCUCAGGUCUGUCAGUACCUCUCCUUCUACCUGGCUCUCUGACAGGGAACCCUAAAGCUGAAGCUCUGUCCUUAAGAAUCAUGGGGUGGGAGUGGGGAGAAAGUGCACUCAUGAGUCUGUCUGGGUGCCAGUGUCCUUCCAGAGACAGAGCAGAAAGGUGGAUGGUAAGGAUUCAAAAAGCAGUUUCUUUUUUGUUUUGUUUUUGUUUUUUUCUAAAAUGUGGAUUUCUCUCUGAGAAAUAGAUGUUAGGCUAGCCCGACUUUACUGUCUUUUUCUCCUCGAGACUGUGGUUUCCUUAGGACUUGACACAGCAUCCUGUCCACUGGCAACAGUUCUUUUGAAUUCCUGCCACAAUUCCCUGCUCUUUUCUGGUCCACUCUCCACAGUUCCAAGGAUUCAUCUCCACAUCUAAUGAUUGUUUUAUUCCCUGCAAACAGGCGUCUAACAUGCUCCAUGGUGUCCAUGAUUAAAAAAAAAAUUCCUUGGCUCAAGAUUUCUUGAAUUGGCAUAAACCUUAAAUUGUUGGCCUUUGAUCUGCAACCCUAUAGGUGGAACAACAUUAUGAGCUAACCAGUACCCCGGAGCUCUUGACUCUAGCUGCAUAUAUAUCAAAAGAUGGCCUAGUCGGCCAUCACUGGAAAGAGAGGCCCAUUGGACUUGCAAACUUUAUAUGCCCCAGUACAGGGGAAUACCAGGGCCAAAAAGGGGGAGUGGGUGGGCAGGGGAGUGGGGGUGGGUGGAUAUGGGGGACUUUUGGUAUAGCAUUGGAAAUGUAAAUGAGUUAAAUACCUAAUAAAAAAUGGAAAAAAAAAUUGUUGGCCUUUAUGCCAGAGGUGAGUGGGAGACAGGCAAGAGACUAGAUAGAACAGUACUGAGGUGAGUCUGGGGUGAAGUUGGGGCUGCUGCCAGCUCACACCUGCAGCUCGCUCUGCCAGACUGAAGCUUGUUGCCUGAACUGUCAAGGGGACAUGUGCUUUAGCAGCAGAUAUUUACAAAUAUCUUUGUUGGCUGCCAGAGGCUCUGGGAGUUGUGCUUGAAAAACAUUUUCUCUUAAUUUCACAUCAAGUUAGAAGGGUCAGGAGAAUAAUAGGAGUCGAAAAGACCAUCAUUUUUAGGGAGGGACAGUUAUAGCUUUGGAGAGUUGAGUGAAUUUAGACAGUUAGCUCUUGCCUCUUCAAGCAAGUAAACUAUGAAAAAUAGAGAACAAACGUCCCUGUAUCCCAGACUGUUCACCAGUCAGGUAAAUUAUAAAAACUAGAGAAAAACGUGUGUCUGUGCUCCAGACUGUUUGCAAGGCAGUCAACUGGGCUCUCUCCACCUGCUGCCUUAAGGGCAGAAGAGCCAAAGAGAGAGAGAGAGGGUGGGGGGUAAACAUGCAAGUUCGUACAGGAAUCUGAAACAAGUUUUUAAAAAGUACCUAGAGUGAGAAAUUCCUUUGAUAACAGUAAAAAUCAUAUUUCUGUGCCUUAUUUUUGAGUCAAGUUGGUAAGCUACAGAUACGGUUUGUCAUCAUCAGCCCCAGCCCACUCCAAAGCGCUAAUGCUAUACAGACUCUAAGCACAGUCCAGUCUAUUUUAGAACAGUUUCCAAACCUUGGCUGAGCGUCAGAAUCAAAGAAAAGCAAGUGGUUCUUCCCCAGGCCUGUUCUCCAGGCGCCUCUGGAGAUGGGAGGGGCGGUUGCACAGGCAAAGCUUCGAUAGGAAGUGUGCACUAAGAGCCAACUAGGUGUGUGCUUACUAAUUCACAGCAGUUCUUUUCACUGGAUGGACAAAACUCAGAAUGAAAAUGAAUGAUUGGGUCUCCAUGCAGGUUUGUCUUAGAGUCUUGUCUUAGAAAGCCCAGACUGAUCUAGUGUGGGUCGUGCGGCCUCCUCUACUGGACUCAUUAGAUUUAUAUUCAUGCCCCUGCUGUAAAGUUAGCUCUGUUUGUGGGGGUGAAUUUGGGAACUUCCAUUAAUUUUGUACAUGUGUACAUGCACCUGUAGACAUUAAAUUUCUCUCUUUAGAAAGGAAGUGCAGCAAGAGAACUGACUCAGCAGUCCGAGCACUUGGUGCUCACAGUAUUCACAGCACCCACAGGAUAGCUCAUAACCAUCUAUAACUUCAGCUCCAGGGAAAACACCCUCGGCUGCUCGCACAGGCACAGGAACACACAUGGUAGACAUCAGAUACAUGCAGGCAAACAUCUUAUACAUAAAAUAAACAUAACUCAAAUGUGCUAAAGAAAACUGACUUAAACAAUAAGAAAGCUGCUAAAAUCUUAAAGUCAGAGAACUUUCACAUUGAAAGAGAUCUGGUGUGACGUUUCUGGUCUGAUUGCAGAUUCCUGAUAGAGAGCUUAUGUCACUGAGACUGUGACUAGUGACUCCAAGAGGAGUCUUCAUCCCAUUGCGUGCAUACAACACUAUACAGUGCUGAAUUAUCUGAUUCCUUCUUAUGUAGAACAUGAAUGUAAAUGUACUUUGUAAAGAAUUUUCUGGAUCCCCAUGUUUCAUGAUCCUUUAUUUAGUGGAAAUUAAAUGUAGGAAAUUAGUAUUUUUCUUUGAGAAAGGGGCAUCAGUCUAUGACUGGUCCCACAUUGUUUUAAUGAGAACAAAAGCAAGAUGUUCCAAAAUGACUUGCUUGCAGCUACAAAGCAUGUUUAAGGAAUAAAAAUCUCCUUCAUUAAGAACAUAAAAAAAAUUGUUUUUGAAGUUCUUAGGAUCAGCUUGUAUAAGCAUCUUUGUAAACUGACACUAAAGAGCCCCCAUUAUGAUCUGUAUACUUUGGUGCCAGGAGGGUUUUUUUCCUAUGGUAAAUUAGUAAGUUCUAUCAGCUGCUGAGCUGUCAUGCAGAGAUACAGUAAAUCACAUUACAUUUUGUCAUGGAUUACACAGAGCAAUAAAUUUGGGAAUAAAGAUCAAAGCACUUCUACAAUCACAUCUGAGUGUAGGAGGGAUGUUUAACUUGUAGAAAACUGAUUUAGGUGAAACUGUUGCAGUUUUUGUGUGAAUUGGAAAUGAAUUUGGAUAUUUGGUUGAAAUUGAAUGAGGAUCAAACCCCAAAACGACUUUCCAUUUGAGUAGUUAGUCUGGAGAAGUCUGUUCUUAACAGAACUGCAUGACGUGAAUUAGAUAAAUAAUUACAUGCUGAGAGUAGUGGAUUCAGUGAAAACUUUAUUUUUGGGUUGUAUUUGCUUUCAUGAUUAAUCAGUGAGUCCCAUGCCUCUGUGUUCAGGAGGAUAGGUAAUUAGUUGAGUAUUGCUGUAGUUAUGCUCCGAACUGACCAGCUUGCUUCUUACUGCACAUAAAGCUGUUUAAAGUAAAUCUGUUUAAGUUCAGAAUAGCGUGAGGAGAUCUUGGUAGUUAAUGUGUCUGUGCCACUCCAGAAACUCCUGUGGCGUUAUCAGAAUUGAUACUCCUCCCUUGAUUCGGAUAAACAAUCUCAAGUGGUUGGGCUUUCUUUUCAUUGAACAAUCACUGUAGCAGGGUUGAUGUAGCAAAACCAACAUGCAGAAGUCACAGGUUUUAUGCAAACUAUUGUGGUGUCUCAAGAUUAUGGGUCAUUGUUCUUUUUGUAGCCUUCUGCUGUCAUCCUCUUAUUGACGUUUUUUCUCUUCUGAAAUCUAGAGGAUUCUCACCAAUGCUGUGAUAAAUCAGCCCAACAAUGAACUUAGACAAAUCCCUACCAGAAAACCAUGUGAAGGUUAAAGACCACACCUCCUUUCCAAAUGGGAUAAAGUAAUACAGUGAGUGAGGCAUCUGACAGCCAGUGGUGCUACUUUUGUUCUGAAAGGAAAUAAGGGACCACUCUGUGUCUAUGUGUGUCAGGCACAUCCCCAAGGAAAGCACUAAGAAAGAAGGAGGUGCUGCCACCAGGGCCUGAAAGAGAAAACCCCAGCAGUUUGGAGAACUCAGCAGAAGAACAUGGGGUAUUUAUAAGCCCCAAGUUUUCUAACACACUCUUUUCAGGCGUGGCUUUGGAUAACACUGUGAUGCCUCCCAAAUCCAAUUGAAAACAUCACCAUAAAAACAAAAAGCAGGUAGCUCUUUGAGGAAGCAACCUAAACCCAUAUGGUUGGGAAUUAUGGGUUGUAAUUCACACUGCCUCUGACCAAGGAAUAAAAGGAGCUAAAGACUACAAUAUUUUAGGGCAUUCUGGAACAGACCAAAAUAAGCCAUCACUGAAGUUAGGUCUGUCCAGGCAGCUUCCAUGAAAGUUAGGAGAUGUAACCUAUAUACUUAGUACCUACAGGGCUAGGUCAGACUAGCCUCUGAGGAGCCCUUGUAGUCAUGGUCACAUCAUCUUUAGUCUUACCAUCUGCCCUUGCCCUCAUCCCCAUCCCAGCAUAAAUACGUGAUAGAUCUUGGAAAUGGGCCCUAAUCCUUAGCCUAGUUUAUGUGAAACCUGCUUCUAGUUCUUCCAAAACUGAAAACGGCUCUCUCCUUGAGGGCGCACAUGUCAAGAAUUGUCCUUGUCUAGAAUCUCCAUCUCCCAUGUCCUACAUUGCAUUCUCAAAUCAUGCUCUUUAGGUAGCAAACUUUCUAAUUUCUUUUCUGGGAUUCAAGUUGCAAGCUCCUCCUACAUUUGGGUGAGGGGAAGGGGGCUUCUUUCUGUUUUCCUUAACCCAUUGUCAGUUCUGCUUCUGCUUUCCAUUGAGACACCCUGUGUCUCCUAUGGUGGUAGGCCAUGGAAUGAGAAAGAAAUGUGACCAUAGACCUCCAAAGGCACAGGCAUACACAUAAUGCACAGACAUACACUCAGCAAAACACUAGUACAUAUAAUAGAAAUUAACUUAAAUACAUCCUUCUAGGACAGCCAGGGCUGCAUAGACUCUGUCCCAAAAAAGCAAACAGAUAAGUAAAUCUAAAAACAAACCAACAAACAAACAAACAACCUUUUAAUGAUAUAGCUGUCUCCUGAGAGGCUCUGCCAGAGCCUGACAAAUAUAGAGGUGGAUGCUCACAGCCAACCAUUGGAUUGAGCAUGGUGUUCCCAAUGGAGGAGUUAGAGAAAGGACCAAAGGAGCUGAAGGGGUCUGCAACCCCAUAGGAAGAACAACAAUAUCAACAACCAGACCCCCCCCAAAGCUCCCAGGGACUAAACCACCAACCAAGGAGUACACAUGGAGGGAUCCAUGGCUCCAGCCACAUAUGUAGCAGAAGAUGGCCUUGUUGGGCAUCAGUGGGAGAAGAGGCCCUUGGUCCUGUGAAGGCUCAGUGCCCCAGUGUAAGUGAAUGCAAGGGUAGAGAGGCGGGAGUGGGUGGGUGGUUGGGGAAACACCCUCAUAGAAGCAGCAGGAGGAGAAUGGGAUAGUGGGUUUCAGGGGGUGGGGACCGGGAAAGGGGAUAACAUUUAUUUAAAUGUAAAUAAAGAAAAUAUCCAAUAAAAAAAGAAAUAUGUAUAAAACAGAGUCUCAGUAUGUAGAUGAUGCAGGCCUCAAACUCAUGUUUCAAUAAUAUAUACAUACCUGUGAUGACCAGUGUAGUCAUUGUCACCAAAUCAAGAAUCACCUGAGAAGGGAACCUCAGAAUGAGACUCUCGGAUUAUCCUGUGGGGGUCUCUGGGUGAUUAUCUUGUGUUCAUAGAGGUGGGAAGAACUACCAACUGCGUGACAGCUUUCCCUAGGCAAGAAAUCCUGCAUUGCAGAAAAGGAAGCAAGCUGAUGAUAGCUAGUAUGCAUUUACCAUUCUCCUGACUGUGGGUGGCAUAUUUGCUGCUGCAAGCUCAGAAAGCUUUGCCUUCCCCACCAUGGCAGACUGUAACCUGAAUCUGAGAGUGAAAAGAAACCCUUUCACUCUUAAGUGCUCGUCUCAAAAUAUUUUAUCACAAUAAUGGAAAAGAAACUAAGACAAUAUCCAUGAAAAUUAAAAACAAAUAUUUCCUGAAGAAGUGUCUAUAAGAAUUUUACAGUAGCACUGUCUGUUACUGUCAAAAGUGGAAACAAGUGUUCUAUAUUAGUUUCUGAUCACCUUGACAACAUAGAGUUAGAAAAGUAGCUUAAAGAAGGAAAGAAUUCACAUGUCUUUCUGUUCCUAAGGCCUCAGGCUACAUUGGCUCGCUUCAUUAUUUGGGGGCCUGUGGUGAGACAGAACAUGGUGAAACAUGGUGGAGUGGAGCUGCACAGUAUGUGAUAGCCAAGAAGCAGAGAGAGAGCUGUCUCCUGUUUGCUCCCCCUAAGCCACCUGUCCUUGGAAGGCAUUUCCCACAUUGAGGCUGGGUCUUCCUCUCUCGGUCUUCUCUGUAGUAGCUCCUAAGUACUUAUGAAUUCAAUCAAAGUGACAAUGAAGUUGAACCAUCACGUUCAUUUACUGUAACAUGAAUAGAGUGUGCUAUACUACCCAUACAGUAGAUUUGGCAAUGAAAUGACAUAGUAAUCCAGGCUCUAACAUAGAUGGUUCUUGGACUUGUAUUAAGUGAAAGAAUGCAGUCAAGAUGGGCCUUAUGCAUGGUUCCACUUAUAACUACAAAGUGGAAGAGUCCAUUGAGACAAAAAGAUUCAUUGUCUCUGGUGUCAGGGGGAGAAAAUGGAAAGUGACUGUUUUCAUAUAUCCAGGCUCAAAGAAAUAAUCCUGUGAAUAUACUAAAAUCUACUGAGUUGUACAGUUUAAAGUUUCCAUUGUAAAGCUGUUAAAUAGAAAAUCUGACUGCUACAUAUGGUUGAGGGUGUGGAACGAAAAGUACUUCUACUAUGGAGCAAGUAUGAAGUACUGCUUGGGAGAUAACCAGGCAUUGCUCAGUACAGUCAACCAUUUAAUUUAUGAAGCAUCAAUUCAACUACAUAACACAUGCUCUUUAAACUCAAAACUAUGUCCCAGAAGACUCGCCCUGGACUGUGGCUCACCAAGAGAAAAAUCUGAAGAGCUCAAAUGUUCAGAGGGAUAAGUUAUUCUGAUCUGUUCACUGAAUUGAAGGAUUCUUAAGCAGUGAAAAUAAGAAAAUGCAGAUUCAGCUAUGACAUGAAUACAUCUUUUAAACAAUGUUAAAAGAAUUGUUGUAGGCAACUACACAGGACUAAAAAUAGUAAAACAAAGCAUGUUAGAGAUGCGCACACAUAUGCUCACUUUAAAACAAUAAAUAAAACAUGGGAUAACAAUUAGCUCUCAGAAUGGAGAUGAGGAGGAGGAAGCAUUCAUAAAUACACUUAAAUACUAUAUAUCAAGCUGUCUUGCUGUUUUCAGAGGGUUUGUGUUGGGGUUGUGUGCCUCUGUGUGUGUGUGUGUGUGUGUGUGUGUGUGUGUGUGUAUGUAUGUAUGUAUAUAUGUAUAUGUAUGUGUGUGUGUGUGUGUGUGUGUGUGUGUGUGUUCACACGUGUAUGGGUGCAUUUCUCUUUACUCUGUACAUACAUGUGUAUAGAGAUCCAAACUUGAAAUAUCUUCCUUGAUGAUUCUCCACAGAUUUCCUGAGGCGCAGUGUCUCACUGAACCUGAAUUUUACCAAUUGAACUAAUCUGGCUACUGCUGAGAUUACGGCAGCCGUCAUACCUGCCUGACCUUUUACAUAGAUUCUGGGGAUUUACUAUGUCUCUAGAAUUAACUACUAGGGUCUACAUAAUGCAUGGCAAACAUUUGUCAACUUAGUCAUGUCCUCAGCCCUAGGAUGGCUCUUUAACCUUAGAGAAUAUUACACUCUUUUGUGCGUAAUUUUAUAUUUCUCAGGCUUAAAACAAUUGAUUGCCAUUGUUGAAAGCAGCAGAGUGCCCUAGCCCUACGGACAUGUCAGGAAGAAAAUUAUUUCUCCAGUAAAGAAACUGAGACAGUCCUUUUCAGGGACUCAGAGUAGAAGGAUGACCUGGGAAGCAAAACUGGGAGCCAGCCUAAGACUGAUGUUAGUAGGCAAGCUUCCUAGCAGGCUGUCCUGCAGUUUCUUAAGCUUAUCUACAGUAGAGUAAGUUCUAUCUUGCUUUGACUUUACCCAUAGAAAUGCAGCCGUGCCUUGGAGCUAACAUUACUCAGCCAUUCACCUCUAAGUCUCAGCCUGCCAAAUGCUCCUUUUGAUCACUCUUGCCUGGCCUUUUAUUUCUUCCAUUUUCUCACGCAUAAAGAACCUGGACCUUGUCCUCAUUCCAGUGCCAACUCGCUGCUCUCAGAUGCCUUGCCAUCUAGAGCUUCUGCCAUUCCUAUGAUGCUAAACCUCAGCUACAUUCAAUCACUGUUGUCCACUUGAUGUGUACAUUCUAUGUAAUAAUGUCCAGGAAAGUUACAUAAUUUGCUGUGGUCACACCACCCAAGUUGCUUGAACUUCAAAGCCAGUAUAGUUAAGCACCACGCUCGAGUGCUUACCGCUUGGCAGCAGUUGUUGGUAUAGUCCAUCAAAGCAACUCACAUGUACAGAAAAGAUGGUUGGAGUAGCUUUUAGGGUCCGGGUGGGGUGAUGGGAAAUUAACUACAAAGUGACAUCAUCAGCUGGCCACACCUUUCACUUGCAAACUGAGUGAGGAGUAGGCAUGAUUUGGAUGGGUAUCAUACCCAUUGUUGUCAAGGAAUCAGCUCAGAUAUUCAGAUGAUCAUAUUAUCUAGAAAUGACUGCAAGUGUACCAGUGACCGACAAGGAUAGUAUCUCACAAGUGGCCUACUGUUCAUUACACCCCUUUUUAAUCAAAUAACCAAAAUGGAGGAUUUUUCACAGUACGUGAGAUGCUCAUGGGAUUUCUGAAUAUACCAUGUUGGGAUACUAAGACCCAUGAUUCAGUGUUAGCUUGGCAUUGCUUAUUAUCUGAUCUAUAAUUGAAUUGUUGCCACUUGAUCAUGGAACCAUUUUAAAGUUUGAACUGAAAACUUGAAGACAACAUUCUACUACUGAAAACAACUCUGCCACAUAUUAUCACUCAUUUGUACAUUAUAUUAAGUACAUUUAAAUGUAUAUUAUGCUUGCAGUUUGUGCAUGUGCAUAUUUGUUUGCCUACUUUUUCACACAAAUACGUGUGGAUAGCAGAGAUGAAAAGCAGGUGUCUUUAUACCUCUCCACAUUUUUUUUGAGGCAAGGCAUCACACUGUACCACCUGGAUAGACUGGGGAGUCAACUUAUGCCUGGGAUCCCCAUGCCUCCACCAUCUCAGCACUAGGGAUACAGGCACAAACCACCAGACCUGGGUUUUGCCAUGAAUACUAUAAGCCAGGACUCGGGUCCUGAGUUUGAACAUCAGGCACAUUGCCAGCUGAGCUAUCUCCCCAGCUGUACACCUAUAAAAUUAGCUAACUAUAGUAGUCAUUUUCUAUUGACAUUUGUCAAAUCAUUAGAUUUGGUAUAAAGUACAACAGUGUCGAAGACAUGUAAAAACAUUACAGGAGGUAGAGAUUCUUAAAAUUAAUUGGCCCCAUUUCCAUUAGGUCUUUGAUGAUAAAUUCUUUUUUGCACAUCAGAGAAUAGCUACCUCUUCCCUAGAGCAAACUAAAGCUUCCUUCUCAUUCCCUUAUUCUUAAAGUUUGUGUUCCUGCCCAACUAAUAAAUGAGUUUCAGUUUCUGUGGCCUUUGCUUCAGUGAGCUUCUCUGAGGGUGAGCUUUGAAAUAUGAUUAAAUCUUAAUUCUUUAACUGUUUCCAUAAGCUUGUUUCACAGUUUGCCUUCUUUUUCAAUCAGUGGGGAGAAGAAAUACAUAUAAAUCUUAUGUGAUCAUGUAUGGGUAUUAGCCACUAAAUGUGUGCUGCAGUGGUGAGAGAUUAGUCUUCAGUUAACAGUGUCCUGUGUUAGUCCUGAGGUUAUCUACCAUAAAAUACACGUUAUUUUAGCCUGCAGUAUUGGGCACAGUUACUAAUUCUGUGUGGCUCUUCUAAGGCUGAGCUGUUAAUAUUUACUGAGUGGGCACUCAGUUGAGAGUAGCAUUGAUAAUACCACAGACCUUUGCAGGAACCCUAGUGUCUUCCAUCUCUGCAAAGGGGAUGCCUUUCCACGGUGCUUCCCAGGUUCCGACUGUAGGCAAAGCAACGAAUGCAAUUCCGUAUGCUGGGAAUUAGUCAGAGUGAGGCGUCACUGAGGAUGGAAACAUGGUACUGACUACCUUAUCAUUUCUUAAAUGGGGAUUUCAAUCUAAGGACAGAAAAAGACAAUAUUCUGUAAUAACGGAGUACUUAUCCUUGACUCAAAGUAAUAUUUUAAAUUUUUAAGAUAUAUCUAUGGGAAUAUAUGCUUUGUUUUUGCUUAUGUCUUCAUCUGACAGCUAAUAGAAAGUCAACAGGUUUUUUUACUUCCCUCCAUUGUCUCAAUUGCCAGUUUCAUAAAGGGGUCUUUUAAAAAACAAAUUUCUUUCCCUCUUUUUAAAAAAAUUUAUCUAUUUUUAAAAUGUAUUUAUAUUUCAAGUGUUACCCUCUUACCCGGUUUCCCCUGCUCCCGGAAACCCCCAUUCCAUCCCCCUUCCCCCUGCUUCUGUGAGGGUGUUCCUCCACUGGGGCAUCUAUUGGGCCUUCAUAGGACCAAGGACCUCUCCUCCCAUUAAUACCUGACAAGACUGUCCUCUGAUACAUAUGCAGAUGGAGCCAUAUGCACUCCUUGGUUAGUGGCUAAGUCCCUGAGAGUGCUGGGAUGGGGGUGGGGGGUGUCUGGUUGGGUGAUAUUGUUGUUCAUCCUGUGGGGUUGCAAACCUCUUCACCUCCUUCAGUCCUUUCUUUAAUUCUUUCAUUGGGGACCCUGCACUUAGUGUAAAUGGUUGGCUGCGAGCAUGCAACUCUGUAUUUGUAAGGCUCUGGCAGGACCUCUCAAGAGACAGCUAUAUCAGGCUCCUUUCAACAAGCAUUUCUUAGCAUCCACAAUAGUGUCAGAGUUCGGUGACUGUAUCUGGGAUGAAUCCCCAGGUGGGACAGACUCUAGAUGGCCUUUCCUUCAGUCUCUGCUCUGCAUUUUGUCUCCAUAUUUGCUCCCAUGAGUAUUUUGUUCAAAGGGGGUCUUUACAAUGAGAAAUCUUAUUAUAACAGUCCACCUGCUCAUAAGGAACUGAUCUUGAGAAAGCCAUAUGCAAAUUAGGAUGAUCAAAUCAAUGAUAGGCUAAGCCUGUUUUCAAUAUUCAUUUAAGAAAGUGGUUAAUGCAAAGCAUUAUGAUUAUCUUAUGAAAUAAACAACAAAUAGAACUUUAUUACAUUAAAUUUUCUUUAUUCUUCUUUCAUACAAUGAAUCCUGAACAUAGCCUCUCCUGUCUCCCCUCUUCUAAGUUCCCCGCCUCUCCUCUCCUCCAUUUUCCUUCAGUAAAGAAUAAGCCUCCCAGUGAUGUCCACCAAAGCUGGCAUAACAAGGUGCAGUAAGACUAGGCACAAGCCCUCACAUCAAGGCUGGAUGAGGCAACCCAGUAGGAGGGAAAGGGUCCCAAGAGCAGACCAAAGAGUCAGAGCCACCUCCACUCUCACUGUUAAGUGUCUCACAAAAACCCCAAGCUGAAAAACCACAAUGGUGUGGACUCCGUAUCAUCAAAGACAGUGCUAUAAGAAUUGUCACUGUGACUCAGGGUGGACUAGAGACACACUAAACAUGAAUUUAAGAUGAGACUGAGAAAGAAAAAUACUAAUGAAAUGGUGAGAGUGUUAGAGAUCAGUUAUGGAAAAAAGGGGAUGCCUUAAUCCCAGGAGAGGAUCAGAUGGAGGCUCUGUGGUAAGCACACAAUAGGAGCAGGACCAUUCCACCUUCAUGUUAUUUUCUUCUUUGAAAAUAUGUUAAAGUAUUUGAAUCCUUUUCUACAAAAAAAAAAAACAAACAAACAAAAAAAUGCUGCAUAAAACAUUAGGGAAUUCCAUGAAUUCUUAAACCCCUAUCCAUGGCCCCAGAUAAAGAAUGUCCAUGAAAUGCAGUGGACAUCAUAUCCCUGAAUAUAUACUUAUGAGAGCACCUAGCCCUGGCCUGGGUGGGGAAUAGGUUUGGAGGAUGAUAAAUGCCUGUCGCACAAUACCUACUUUCAAACUCGCACAACUAUAGAGAUCUUUAAUUUUGAGGUUACCAGGGUAUGAUUUAGAUUGAAGGGUCUAGCAGGCAGGCAAUCAAAACAAAGUGGAGCCAAGUAGGAAUGGGUGGGGAGACCUUCAAAGCUGUGACACCAGGACACCUAUGAUACCAAGCCUGAUGGGCCGGCCCUUAGAGCAGCCGCUUCACACAAGUAAACUGGCGACUCUGGGUGUGUAGAGGAAACAGAUUUUGCAAAGUGAGUUGUCAUUAAUUAAUUGUGUUUACAAUGAUUCUGAUAGCUACUCAAUACCGUGGCUGUAGUAAGAUUGGUUGGUGUCAUCCUCAAUUUGUGGGGACAUACAUUUUUAUUCUAAAUCUGUAUGAUGAGUUAGUAAGCUGCUAAGCAGAUUUUAGAGUAAUGUCUGUGUGCAGAGAGUUAUGACAAUACAAACUAGGGGAACUGAUCAAAAUGUUGUUGUGCUAUGUAGCACCUUUCUCCUGUCCCUUUCUUCCUUAUACAGGGGCAGUUACUAGUCCCUAUAAAGGUAUCAUACUGGCCAUGUUUGCGUGCAUGUGACUCAGGAGUGUUUGUCUUCAAUGUUCCCUUCCAUGAUGCAUAGGGAUAAGAUGGCUGGGCUGGGUCCAUCUGUCUUCUGUCUCUCAUUAAGCCUAAGCCAGCUUGCUAUUGCUUCAUGUCUCUCCAGCCCUAUAGUUGACCAAAGGCUGGUUAGAUGUUAAUUCAGGCUUGGGAGGAAGGAGUCUCAACCUCAGAGGCAUAGCCUCUUAUUCCCACCCACUUACCACAUCAAGGGCACUGGGCACCCUCACAGCCUGUAAUAAAGUAACUUUUGUCUCUCUAUUGCUGUUGCUGCUUUCAUUCAUGGCUCCUUCAAGAAGAGGAGACAGGAUGGCAGGCUAGGAUCUAAGCCAAACACCAGUACUAUAACCCUUAGUAGUGAUAGCACUAACACAGAUCUGGGAUCAUCUGCUCAAACGUUCAAACCUCUCUGCAGUUUAGGUUUCUGUCUGAGUCACUGACUGUGUGGCAGUAGACGCUUACUACUUUCCCUCAGCUCCAUUGCCCCAUGCUUCCCCAGGAUAACAGGUCAGUCCCUGUCGCUGUCAUCAAUAUGAUGGAUGAGCUGGCAGCCGCUGUGAAAUUGCAUGUCCCAGGUGACUUUGGACUGCCUGCCUGCAUCCCUGUUAGCCUUUCUUCUUCUUUGAAAGCCCGUAGAUCCGGAAUUCUCUUUGCUACAACCAUGCUUGCUGCUCUCAGACAUCCAAGACUUGAAUGCUCUCCCUGCUUGGAAGGAGAAGUGAAUGCCUGGAGCUCAUGGAGAGCUAUGUCCAGUGCUCUUCCUGGCCUGCUGAGACUACUACCCCAUGAGGGAAUACCCAUGCCAACGUCACUAAACGGACCAGCAUCCUUGCCUGCCUAUGGCAUGAGGGAGGCACAGCCCCUUCUGUUCCCACAGGAGCCUCUUCCUACAUGGGCUUUCAGGUCUUUUCUCCUCUCCCAGGCUUCUCUCCAGGGUGAACACAGGGCCUUCUUUCAGGAAUGAACCCACAGAGAAGCAUGUCAGGCUGUACCCAUUUUCUCAGCCUGGAGACUUUUUUCUAGUCUGAGGUUUGGGGAAGAAGUAGGAGACGCAGAAUAGAUAAAAUCAGUGUCUAGUCGGCUUUUGUACCAGGGCCCAGUGUGCCAAAGUCAUGCUUAAACGCGCCAGUUUGACUCCUUCGCUUACACUUCAGCUUACGGUGGUGACACUCUUUUCUGUAAGUUUGUGUAGGCCUUCAAAGUUAGAAGGUUUAAAACUUCGGAAUGCCGUGGAACAUCACUAAAAUACCCAUGUUGCCACACUGCAGGAUGAAUAGCAGGAGGCUACUUUAUCUUGUGUGGAGUUCUUCCUUUAGUUUCAUACAAUAAACAUGCAUUUCCAUUUUUCAAAAAUAGCUUGCACUGUAAUCUAUAUACCCAACACAUUUGUCUUAAAAGAUCGUUUUUUAUUACAUUUAUUUUUGUGUGAUCUUGAACACAUUUUCUAAGUCAUCUCUUGGUUUGAGUGAGGUCAGCAGAGCACCUGUGUCAGAGCUUCCACCAGACAGAGUGUAUAGAGCACUCAGACUAUGCUUCAAUAGUGUAAAAAAUGAGUGUUCUGUGGAUGCAGUCAUAGGCAUCACUGUUCUUUACUGCCCAACGCCUUGCCACAGCCUUCUCUCUCAGGAAUCUCCUCCUCCCUUAAUGCCUGUCCACAUCUCCUUCCUAACAUGCCGUGUGUUAGUGAUUCACUCAUCUCUCUCCUCCCCAGAUGCACUAAGGCUUGCACUUCUGUGCCUAGCACAGAAGAGGAACUGUAGGAGAUGUGUGUGAGAAUAAUCAGGUACACAGGUGUAUAUCCAGAUUUCAGAAGGACCAUGCUUGUGUGUGUGUGGGCACACUGUAGUUAGUAUGUCUGGAGGAAGAAAGGUAGUCAGUCUGAAAGAAGAAAAUAUAUGAAAGGAAGAGAAACUGGGGAUGGUAUUUGAACAGGCUUUUAACCUUAACACUCUGGAGACAGAGGCAAGUGGAUAUCUGUGAGUUUGAGGCCAGCCUGGUAAACAUAGCAAGUCCCAGAUUAAGCAGGGCUGUUUUAAUGAGACCCUGUGUCAAAAAAAGGGGGACAGUAAGGAACCCUGACAUUUGGGUAUUUUCAAUACGGUCAAUACAAGCAAAUCAGCAUUGCUAAACAGCAUCUCUCUUCAUUUACACACACACACAGGUUAUGAUGUGGUUUCUGCUCAUGUUUUUUAUACAAAAAUUUGAAUGUAAUUCAUAUUUUUUGAUGCAUCACUAGUAAAACCACUUGAGCUUAGAUGUAAUUGUUUUGUGUACAUGUGUUCUCUCAUAGGAAUAUAUGUAAAAAAUAUAAGGAUCUUGGGGUUUUAUUACGUUACAUAAGUCAUUUUAAAUUAUUUGUAGUUCAUAUUAUUUAAGAGAAUCAAAUACUUUGUCUAAAUUAUGAACAUUUAUAAAUGUUGUUAUAAUAUUUUCUCACAACCCAGUAAUGUCUAUAGAAUCUGAUAGUGUUCUUUUCUCUUAUCUGAUAUUGGAAAUUUUUAUCUUUUUUCUAAUUCAUGUUUUAAUGGAUUUAUCAAUUCUGUUGUUCUUAAUUUACAAGUGUUUUAUUUUAUUGAUUUUUUUUAUCUUCUUCUACUGCUUUCUGUUCCAUUAACUUCUGCCCUUCUGCUUUACUGCUCUUGCUUGCUUUGUGUCUCACUUGCUAUUUUUUAAGCUUCUUCAUGGAAGGCUUAUGUAUCCUGUCUUAGAUCUUCUUUCUUUACUAGUAAAUAAAUUCAAAUUAAAAUUUUUCUAAGUAAUAACAUAUCUGAAGUCCACAAAAGUCUCUAACCCUAACAUCAUCACUUAUUUCAAAGCAUUCUCCAGUUUCCUUUUACAAUUCUCUGACUUACAGAUCACUCACCUGGACAUAUUUUACUCUUCAGAUACUUGGGACAUAUCAGAUGCAUGUCUGUGACUAUUUGCUUAAUUUCUUCAUAUCAGAGAACAUACUCUAUAUAAAAUCAGUACCUCUAAAACUUACCGCAGUUUGUCUUAUGGAAAAAACAUGGUCUGUCUUGAUUGCAAUCCAGCUGGUUGGUAGUAAUUUUCAGAUUAUCUUUGUCCUCACUAGUACUCAGUCUAUUGAUAUCGAUUACUAAGAAAUACUAAAUUUUCUUUGAUUACAGCUUAUGAAUUUGCCUAUAGUCCUCUUGUUUCUACCAGCCUUUGCUUCGUGUGGUUUGAAGCUCUUGAAGUUAGAUAUUUGCUUAUUUAGGAUUGCUCCAUCACUGAAUGGAUUAAAAUUUGUAAUUCUUAGCUCAUACAGUUCCUCACUGGUUCUUCAGUUGUCACCUAGGCUCUGCAGCAUGCUUGUUAGUCACAGCCAGCAUUUGCCCACUGUUAGGCCGGUCGUAUGAGGAAGGCGGUCCUUAAUAACGCCAUGCUGCCCCUUUCCAUUCUUUCUCCUGUUUCUACAAAUGUAAUAAACCUUGAAUGUGCUGCUUUUUAUUGAUGCAACUAAUGUUCAGUCUGUGUUUGAGGAGACCUUAAAACAAGAGCGUUUUGUACUCAUACAUGUCAUUUCAUAGCCAGUGCAAUUUGUUCAUUUUAGUUCAUGCAGGCUUCUUUUCGAUGUCUUUGUGUGUUUCUAAGAAGGAAAUGAUUCUUUCAACCUUUAUGUAUGUGGAGGGGUGCACAUGAGUGUGCAGAUAUGUGUGUGAGCCAUGUACACAAAUGUCUUCCCCUAUCAUGCCCUGCCUUAUUGCUCUGGAGAAAGAGUGCCUCACCAAUCGAGAAGCUCACCAUUUUGGAUAGGCUGACUGAGCCAACAAGCUUUGGGGAGGCAUCUGUCUCCAAACACCGUGCCUAUUUUUGUACAUGGGUUCUGGAGUUUUCAGCUCAGGUCUUCCUGUUUGCAGAGCAUAUGUUCUUUCCCAGUGGGCCACCCAUCUCUUCAGCCCUUCAGCCUUCUGUGUGGCACUAGUGAUGAGGCUCUGGUUUGUUCCUGAGAAUCUGUUGUUCACUUUCGGUUUGGAAGGUUACUUCCAUUGUGUGUGCUGCUUUAGAUGAAUGCAUCCCUUCAGCUUUCGUUGCUCCCUAACUUGUAUGGCAUGAGUGACAACUCGCUCAUUAUGUUUUCAUUGUAUCUGUUUUCUCUGGCUGCUUUGAAGGAAAUAGCUUCAUUUCUUGUUCUUUCGGUGUUAGCAUGUUAUGCCCUGAUGUGGUUUUCUGUGUUUAUCUUGUAUUUUGUUCAAUGAUCUUCUGACUUGUGGUUUGGGGGUUCUUUUUCAGCUUGGAAAACUUCUAGCCAUAGUAUCUUCAAAAUUUGUUAGCAUUUUUCUCCAUCUGUACUAUAAUAAUUAUGAGGAUGUGAUGCUGUCUCAGGGAUUAUUAAGGCUAUUCAUUAAACGUAUCUUUUGUCUCUCUGGAAAUAAUUUAGAUAUUAUAAAUUUGAUUUCUUGGUCAAUUUAAAGUUUCCUCUUAGGUAUAGAAGGUGGUUGAUGGUACCAUUCAAGUCUAUUGAGUUCAGACCUAGACAAAGUAAAAAGUCAGCAGCCUUUGUUCUGUGUCACAAGUGACCUCUUAGGGAAAGUUCCUGGUCUAGAAUUUGGAGAGCAGACAUGGGGAAUCACAACUUUCCAGAGCAAAUCCUACUUAGAGAAACCUCUGCAGGAACCAGUACUGGUAGCCUGGAAAGGGGUUGAUGGAUGACAGGGGCUUGGUUUGGGGAAGUCUGGAAGAUAAACCUCUAGUGGAUUUACCUCCAAAAGCUUCACUGGAUUGACACAGUGAACACAGAGGAAUAUCUAUCUAUGCUCCUUACAGAGGAGGGAAAAGUGACCCUUCUGAGACAGCAGGGCAUUCUGGACCCUGAAGCAGGCCUGCCUUCUUAAGGAGCAGUUUCACCAGAGCCCAACCUACUGGAGGUCUCUCAGAUCCUAUGGAACCUAGAAGAAGGGAAGUGACCGACACUAGCCUCAGACCUUCUGUAUGUGGAAAGAGAAGUGCACAGCUCCAGCUCCCUCCAGCCAUCCUGCCUGCCCUAAGAGAGGAGAGGGCUGAGAGACACCAGUGGGGUUCAUAGCUCCGUGAGACAGUGGAUUCUUCGGCCUCCAUCCAAGUCCUGUCUUGUCCUCUCCAAAACUGCAGAGCUUGUUCAGUGAAAGGAAAACAAGGAGAUCUUUAUUGUCCACACAAGAGCAAUCUAAAUGGGAGCUUGGAAACUUGAGAAAGUAGGAACAGGCUGCUGACAGCUCUAACUCUUCACAGGCUUCUCUCCAAGAGCAGGCUCUCUGGCAGAGACCAGACCACUGAUGGUCGGUAGCAGGGUUGAAGGCUAGAGCAAGUCCUAGAGCUGGAGCCGCAAGUCUGGGUGAAUGGUUGAGCAUUUCUUUCAUGACUUGAGCAUUGCUGCAGUCUUCCUUCUCUUCCUGAUUCAGCUAGCUGUCCAGCAAACCUGACUCUGAAAUCUUCCGUCUGUCUCUGAAGAGAGCAGGUGUGUCUUAGAGCCACAACUCAAGCAGAAUCAGCUGAACACUGAACUGCAACAGGAAACCAGAUGUUAGAAAACAAACAAACAAACAAACAAAAACUUAUUGCAUGGAUGUGUGUGAAGUAUAGACUAGAACAAAUCAGGAACAAGCUGUCAAGAUGGAGAAAGGAAAACCAAAGCCUGCCCAAAGGGUCCCCAACCACAUCUGGAGAGCAGUGUCUCUCCAUGCCUGUGCAGUGUCAGGAAAGCCAAGCACUCAGCCAUCCUAUUGGUAGGGAUACAAAAGACUUUACCCUGGGUUUUUGUUUUCUUUUUUUUUAAUUUUUUUAUUAGGUAUUUUCCUCGUUUACAUUUUCAAUGCUAUCCCAAAAGUCCCCCAUACCCACCCACCCCUACUCCCCUACCCACCCACUCCCCCUUUUUGGCCCUGGCGUUCCCCUGUACUGGGGCAUCUAAAGUUGGCAAGUCCAAUGGGCCUCUCUUUCCAGUGAUGGCCGACUAGGCCAUCUUUUGAUGCAUAUGCAGCUAGAGACAAGAGCUCCGGGGUACUGGUUAGUUCAUAUUGUUGUUCCACCUAUAGGGUUGCAGUUCCCUUUAGCUCCUUGGGUAAUAUCUCUAGCUCCUGCAUUGGGGGCCGUGUGAUCCAUCCAAUAGCUGACUGUGAUCAUCCACUUCUGUGUUUGCUAGGCCCCGGCAUAGUCUCACAAGAGAGAGCUAUAUCUGGGUCCUUUCAGCAAAAUUUUGCUACUGUGUGCAAUGGUGUCAGCAUUUGGAAGCUGAUUAUGGGAUGGAUCCCUGCAUAUGACAAUCACUAGAUGGUCCAUCUUUUUGUCACAGCUCCAAAUUUUGUCUCUGUAACUCCUUCCAUGGGGGUUUUGUUCCCAUUUCUAGGAAGGGGUAAAGUGUCCACACUUUGGUCUUCCUUCUUCUUGAAUUUCAUGCGUUUAGCAAGUUGUAUCUUAUAUCUUGGGUAUCCUAAGUUUCUGGGCUAAUAUCCACUUAUCAGUGAGUGCAUAUUGUGUGAGUUCCUUUGUGAUUGGGUUACCUCACUCGGGAUGAUGCCCUCCAGGUCCAUCCAUUUGCCUAGGAAUUUCAUAAAUUCAUUUUUUUAAUAGCUGAGUAGUAUUCCAUUGUGUAAAUGUACCACAUUUUCUGUAUCCAUUCCUCUGUUGAGGGGCAUCUGGGUUCUUUCCAGCUUCUGGCUAUUAUAAAUAAGGCUGCUAUGAACAUAGUGGAGCAUGUGUCCUUCUUACCGGUUGGGACAUCUUCUGGAUAUAUGCCCAGGAGAGGUAUUGUGUGAUCCUCCUGUAGUACUAUGUCCAAUUUUCUGAGGAACCGCCAGACUGAUUUCCAGAGUAGUUGUACAAGCUUGCAAUCCCACCAACAAUGGAGGAGUGUUCCCCUUUCUCCACAUCCUCGCCAGCAUCUGCUGUCACCUGAGUUUUUGAUAUUAGCCAUUCUGACUGGAGUGAAGUGGAAUCUCAGGGUUGUUUGAUUUGCAUUUCCCUGAUGAUUAAGGAUGUUGAACAUUUUUUCAGGUGCUUCUCUGCCAUUCGGUAUUCCUCAGGUGAGAAUUCUUUGUUUAGCUCUGAGCCCCAUUUUUAAUGGGGUUAUUUGAUUUUCUGGAGUCCAUCUUCUUGAGUUCUUUAUAUAUAUUGGAUAUUAGUCCCCUAUCCGAUUUGAGAUAGGUAAAGAUUCUUUCCCAAUCUGUUGGUGGUCUUUUUGUCUUAUUGACGGUGUCUUUUGCUUUGCAGAAGCUUUGCAAUUUUAUGAGGUCCCAAUUAUCGAUUCUCUGUCUUACAGCACAAGCCAUUGCUGUUCUAUUCAGGAAUUUUUCCCCUUACCCUGGGUUUUAAAAUACCACUUUAAAACUGUGUGCCAUUCUCACUAUGCACCCAUGAUUACUACCUUCAUCUAUACCUGGAGCUUUCUGGCUGCUACCACAGCCCAGUCCUGUAGAUGAUCUCCAGUUGUCAAUAUGAGCUGUUAAGUGCAGCCUGCUUCAGCUCUCAGGACACCUGGGAUUUCUCCUUAUCAUCUUUGAUCUCCAUUCCUGGCCACCAUACCAUUAGAACUACAGAACACUUUCUCCCCAAGCCAUACCUAUAGUAAAGGACUUUUGCAAAGAUUUAUUUUUAUUAAUUUUAGGUUCAUAGUCUCCCUGGAACUGGAGUGUUUGUUAUAUUCAGUUGUAAGCUGCCCAAUGUUGGUGCUGGGAACUGAAUUUAGGUCUUCUACAGAAACAGUAUAUGCCCUUCCUUAAAUCCUGAGCCAUCUCUCCAGACCCUAUAAGGGGCUUUUACUGAAGAAAAUUACACCCAACAUAUAAUAUCUGGUUAUCAAGAUAGCAUCAGACAGUAUAACCAAAGACAAAAACAAAAAACAACAACAACAAAAAAAACAUAGUUUGAAGAAACAGCAAAUACUGAAGCCAGUUUCAGAUAUUGAAUCAAGAUUUAUAAUUGUAAUUAAUCAGAUCAGUGAUUUAAAUCAAUUGUGAUUAAUAUAUUAACAAAUCUAAUAGACAACAUAUAUAAAGAAAUGAGCAUUAUAAGCAAAGGGGAAAAAAGAUAAAGAAAUACUAAAGCUAGAAAACACGAUCUGAAUGAGCACCAUCCCAGCCCGCAGAAACUGGAGCAGGAGCACUGAGUUUGAUACCAACCUGCACUUACACAGCAGCCCUAUUUCAGAAAGGAAGGAAGAAGAGCUUUGAUGAGCUCAUUGGUGUGCUGUAAAGAAUUAGUGAAGACCUGCUAAGCUUGAAGGUCUCAAAAGAAAUAUCUAAAAUUGUAAAGAAAAGAAAAAAAACAAUACCAACACCUUUGGGACAGCAGGCAAUGCUUAAAAUUUGCAUAGUAGGACUACAAAAGAGCAGGGAGAAAGGGAAAGGUAUUGCAGGAAAUCAUGACUGAACUUUCCGAAAUUAGUGUCAGAUACAAAGUCACAGUUCAGGAAACCUGCAGGGCAUCGUGUGGGAUAGAUGUAAGCACUGACUGCAGCAGGCUUGCUGAAAACAUAAGAAACCAAAAAUAAUUGUUAGGGUGUGAGGGUGAGCUGAAUGCAGAAGGUCAUAAUGCCUUUUAUCAGAAUUGACUGCCUGUCAGAGCAUCCCCUGCCUCUCCUAUUGAUCCAUUUGCCUCCUGGAGCACUUGCUUGGUCAUAGAGCACGCCUUCUUGAUAGAAGAGGACUUUAAAAUUAAUAUAAUUGAUAUGCUAAAAAAAGGAAAAACAUGAAACUGUACAAGAUGUUCAGUUAAAACCACAAAGGACAGAAAAAGAAUGAAAAAGAAUAUGAAAAAAAGAAAUCAAGUAACAAAAAAUUAAUAAAUCAUCUUGAAUGGUAAUGGCCUAAAUAUGCCAGUAAAAAGGCAGAAAUUGUUCAUGUAGGCCAAAAUAAAAUGUAGUUAUAUGCUUGCUGUCUACAACCUGCCUUGUAUAUAAUUCACAUACAGACUAAAAGUAAGCCAAUGGAGGAAGAUACGCCAUCCUAAUGUAAUCAGAUGUUAUGUUUUGAGUAGACCAGAGCAAGGAAGGUUGUCAGAGAUAGGGGCAUUCUAUAAUUUCAAGAGAAUAAGAACACAGAACAAUCCUUGAUAUGUAUACCCCUAAAGUAGAUCAUGAAAAUAUGUGAAGAAAAAGUGAUAAAACCCUGAGCAAGAAUAGAUGAAUGCAUAUAUUUGGAGACUUCAACACCAGCUGUGAGUAACAGAAAUAUCCCGCAGACAGGAAAAUCAGGAUAUAGUUGAACUUUACGAAACCAUCAAUCAACUGACUAUAAUGAACAUCUCUGAACCACUUCUGUAGCAUACUCUAAGCCAUAGCUUCCCAAACUGUGAACUGUGGUUCUAUAUGGGGACAUAGGACUGAAUGAGAGGGUCACAAAAAAGUUGACAGCAGUAAAAAUUUUCAAAACACACCAAAAUAAUUAAUUCAAAAUAAAGCACAUAAUGGACUGAUGUGUUUCUGGAAGCAUUUGUAUGUUUCUCUGUUGUAUGUGUUUACAUAUGUUUGCACCUGGUGCUAUGUUACAUGUGCUUGCAUGUGUUUCUGUGUUUUAUGUGUCUGCAUGUGCUUACAUGUGUUGCGUGUGUUGUAUGGAACAGCUUCACUUAGCCUUGGUUGUGAACAUUGAGCACACACACUUGGUAUGGUAUCAUACCACAGAGCACCAAUGAAAACUGUCUGGCACACUUCAGCUCAGCUUCCACUGUUCCAUACAUUGUGAAGUUAACGGUUUUACUGCACAUGCAAACUUUGCUGCUCUUGUUCACACAGCAUGGUUUAAUUAUGGAAAACAAAGGGUGCUUCGUAUUGUCCUUCCUUAUCAUGUGUUAAAUUAGUGCAUCUUUGAAUUAGAUUGUUUUAGGUUUUUAAAAUUGCUAAUUGGAAACCAAGUAAAAGGGGUGCAUGCCUGUAAUCCUAGUACUCAAGAAGUAGAGUCAGGAGACUCAGUGAUUCAAGACACAGAGGCAUGUGUGGGGACUUCAAGUCCAACGCUGGCUACAGGAGACCCUGUGCUAAUGUGAGAUAGAUAGAUAGAUAGAUAGAUAGAUAGAUAGAUAGAUAGAUAGAUAGAUAGAUAGAUAGAGAUAGAGAUAUGAGAUAUAUAUAUAUAUUAUUUGAGUAAUUCUUUAGAGUUUUAUAAGGCUUGGUGAUAGAAUAUUUGCUUAACAUGUAGAAGAGGUUCUAUUUUCUCUCUCCACUGUAAAAAAGAAAAGGGAAAGAAAGAAACCCUCACAUAGUCUCAGUUGCCCUAUAUCUUUUUAUAAUUUUUUGAGAUUAUAAUAUAAUAACAUUAUUUCCACCUUCCUUUUCCUUCCUUCAAACCCUCCCAUAUACUAGCCCCUUGUUCACUUUCAAAUUUAUAGCCUUUUGAUCUUGAAUUAUUGGUGUGUAUGUAUAUGCAUACUUGUGCAUGGGUGUGUGUGCAACCAAAAUAUAAAAUAUAUAAAAAUAUAACCUGCUGAGUCUGUAUCAUAUUACUUGUCCGUAUGCUUUCAGGGUUGAUCAUUUGGUUUUAGAUAACCAACUGGUGUGCUUUACCCUGAGAAAGACGACUCCUCCUGAUCUCAUCGUGCCUUAGCUGCCUGUAGUGCUCUGUCCCGGUGUGAGGCAUUCCUGAAUGUCCUUAGUGCACAUCAGCAUGUCACUUGUGUCUUCUUGUUUGAGUCGUGUUUAGGCAGCCAUAUAGGUGAGACUUCAUCAAUGUUUCUUCUUGGACAUUUCCAGGAGAAAGCAUCUCACAGCAAACUUCUGUUCCUCGGCUCUUACAAGCUUUCUGCUCCUACUACAGAGAACCCUGAGCCUUAGGUACAGGGGUUGUAGUAUAAGUGCAGCUCUUUGGACUGGGCUCUACAACUCUUCAUUGUGAUCACUUGUGGAUUUCUGUAGAAAAGAUCAUUUUUUCAGAGAGAAAUUUUCUUGAUGUGGGGAUGAGACCUACACUUAUGUGUGGCUAUAAAUAUUUAGAAUGUAUUAGGGACUGUGUUGGUGUAGUAAAGUGGCAGUUGUAGGUUCUCGUCUAAGAUUGUGGCUUCACUAGCCCUAGGUACUGGCUAAGUUUUCAGUACCAAGGAAGAUUCUUCUCUUAUUGAACGGAGCACUAUAGCUUUUAAAAUGGCUCAGCAAGUAAUGACCUUCCUCUUCAAAAAUGAAGGCAUUAGACUAACAUGACUUAUCAUAAAUUCUGCUAGCCUGUGAGGAAGAAGUUAUAUUGAUCCUCUGUUGUCUUUUUGUCAAGUUAGAAAAGGGCAGACUAUUUCCUAAUGCAUCAUGCUAGGUCGACAUGACCCUGAUAACAAAACUGGACAAGAAAAUGACAGGAUAUUAUCAAUCAGAAGCAGAAUUUCUAAAUUAAAAAAAAAAAAAGUCAAAUCCCAAAUGGACAAAAACAAACGCCAUGACCAAAUGGAAUUUAUUCCAGGUUGUGCAUGGCAGAGUCAAUAUUUAAAAA
Long non-coding RNA from Mus musculus (house mouse), 33523 nucleotides. RefSeq annotates it as predicted gene, 53213. The record is from RefSeq and is a predicted model, not a curated record. The transcript has 2 exons. NCBI's taxonomy places the organism in Eukaryota, Metazoa, Chordata, Mammalia, Rodentia, Muridae.